AUGAUUGCUGAAUUUGAUCCAAUAAUGCAAGAACAUCUUAGACGAAUUCAAAAUGAUGAAAUUUAUCAUCACUAUCUCAGCCACAAAAUCCAGAAUGAGUUGAUUUCUCUAUUGGCCUCUAGUGUUACUAGUUCUAUCUUACAAAUUAUUAAAGAGGCUAAAUAUUUCUCCAUAAUUCUUGAUUGUACUCCAGAUGUUAGCCAUCAAGAACAAAUGACCCUAAUUAUUCGAUGUGUUAACAUGUCAAAUAAGAAAAUAAAAAUAGAAGAAUUCUUUAUGGAAUUUUUGACGGUGGAUGACACUUCUGGUUUGGGUCUUUUUAAUGUACUUCUUGAUGCAAUAGAGUCUUAUGGCUUAAAUAUUGAUAAUGUAAGGGGCCAAGGGUACGAUAAUGGUUCCAACAUGAAAGGAAAUAAACAAGGGGUA
Molecule: ribosomal RNA, 426 nt
Filed under: Triticum aestivum (bread wheat)
Lineage: Eukaryota; Viridiplantae; Streptophyta; Magnoliopsida; Poales; Poaceae
Description: partial small subunit ribosomal RNA
Source: RNAcentral